Molecule: long non-coding RNA, 1571 nt
Organism: Gadus morhua (Atlantic cod)
Lineage: Eukaryota; Metazoa; Chordata; Actinopteri; Gadiformes; Gadidae
Source: Ensembl
GAAAAAAGACAGAGAACCUCCACAAAGCUUUGGCCCAGAGAUACGUCACAUUCUCAGAGAGGGCAAAACUGGAAGCUGCCAGCCUCAGUGACUUUCAGCAAAAGCAAAACCUCACUCAGCAAACAAUAGAGCAGUGGGUGUUUGAUGUCCAGCAAUGGGCAGUCACAGAUCGAGUCUACACACAAGGGUGUACAGAGGACCUCAGGGCAGAAAUAGAGACCAUCACAGUAACCCUCCUACGCAAGAAGCAGGACCUCUAUCGUCAGCAUGAUAGCAACCAGACAAGACACAGCAAGCGAAGAAAACUUAGAGAUUUAAAAAAAAAACUAAGAGAUAAGGUCUUGCAGUACAACGCAUCUGAAGAAGAUGAAAUUGAUGAGGACUUGGCCUGCAAUUUGACGGAGGGCUACAUCCUGCCAUGGGAGAGAAGUGAAGAUGGCCACUCAUUCAGAUUGAAAAGGUCACUCUUUGACCGAAUUAUGCUUAAACGGUAUGAGGAGGAGCAGAGCAUCCUCAUCAAAGAAAUUACACAGCACAUCAUGUCAUUAAGGAAGGAGAUAAAGGGAGUGGAGAAACUCAAAGACAACAUUGGGAUGUUCGAUUUUGGUGACAUGUCAGAGGAUGCUGCAAAAGGUUUCGAAAGUGUCCUCAUGUGGAGGUCCACCGAACUGGAGAAUUCAUGCCAACAAGCUGAAUGACAAGGACAGGAGUUGGCAUGAAAUUGCCACCGCGAUGGACAUACCAGUGGAAGAAGUACGUGCGAGGGCAACGUCACUGAGAACGCAGUACUCAAGCUUCUGAAAAGCAAACCAAGUGGUAGUGGAGAUACAGCUUUAACCAGCAAACAGAAGUGGAUGCUGAAGUCCUUAUUUUUUUUAAAAGCACAUGUCGUCCAGCGUGCUACAGAGACCAGUCUUCACAUGUCAGUGAAAGACAGCCUGGCUGUGGAGGAGAUCCACUCUGAGGCAGAAGAAGGUGCGUCAGAGGUGUCAGAGCUGCCAGAAGAUCUGGAGCCAGUUGCCUCUUCUGGAACAACACCACCACAUGCCUGUACUCCUGAGCCUCCAAAUCUGGCCAAGAAACGCAAAAAAGUCCAGUCACCUGAUGAAAUCGAAAUUCAAAAAGUCAACAUCCUCCAGCAAAUGUCUAAAGUCAUAGCGGAAAAUAGAAACAGGCCAGUGCAGACAGACAGCGACACCACUUUUGGUGUACAGGUUGCAGCGGAGCUAAGGAGUAUUAACAACCCAAUACUAAAAACAAGGGUGAAGCGCCAGAUAAUGGCAGCUCUAUAUGAGGCUCAGGAGUCUGAACUCAGCAUGUCCUCUCCAACAUACAGAAGGCCACAUCCCUAUCACCCACCCUCAACUGGCCAGAUCCCCCCUCCACAACUCCCCUCUCCUCUCACAUACACAGACACAAAUUUUCAGCCAUACACCAGCUAUCGGAGGAUGCUGGAUGAAGACACAUAAACUAUGUAUGAUGUUUAAUGUAUUUCUUUUUGUUGUAUUUUAAUGAUUGUCCUAUAGCUUAUAUUUGUUAUUCUCUAAUGUUUGUACCUAUUGAAAAUAAAC